GCGAUUCCCUUAGUAGUGGCGAGCGAAAAGGGAGAAGCCCAGCGCAGAAUCUCCCGGGCUACCAAGCCCGCGGCGAAAUGUUGCGUAUAGGGAAAGGUCGAUUAUAGCCUCGUGCACCCGUCUGAUGUGCCUAAUCGUGUCCUGAAAUGUUCACGCAAGUUGGGUACUCAUCUUUCGGGGUGACAACUCAAUACACGGUACCAUGGAGGGUGCAAGCCCCGUAUGGCCGCGUGAGUGUGUACGAAGGCUAGACCUCUCUUCCCUGAGAGUCGCGUUGCUUGAACAUGCAGCGCUAAGCAGGAGGUAAACUCCUCCUAAGGCUAAAUAUAUCCACAGAACCGAUAGCGAACAAGUACCGUGAGGGAAAGUUGAAAAGCACUCUGGAGAGAGGGUGACAAGACCGUGAGACCGUUCAGGGCAAAAGCCGAUGUCGAGUAUCCUAGUUGCGCUGGGACCAGGUUUCGGCCUGAAGCGAUUCUUCUUCUGUCGUUCGGAGUUAAGCUGUUUCACGACGGCUCUUCGUCGGUGGAUGUGUAACGUGAAUCGCUUAGCGUCCAUUAACAGCCCGCCGUGACUCUUGCGAGGUCAAUCGUGGUAGUAUGGGUAUGAUGCGAGUCUCUUCCUUAAGGGUUGAUACUGUCGGAGGUCGUGCUAUUGCGGGUUGCACUUAGUAGCGUCGUUCGGACGCGAAAUUUGUGUUCGCAGUGCGCGUCGGUACGUUGUGCCUCCAUAGUUGAUUCCUGGUUGUGAGUCGUCUUAUCCGCUGCCAAUGCGAUUCCGAUCCUCCGCGAGAAGUUAUUAAGACUCUGUUCGCACGUUGUCGUUGAUACCUUAGAGCGUCAGCUUAACUGGUUUCUCUGAUGCGUGCGUUCGUGUCGGCGGUAUGCCUAGGUGACAUCGGUCACGUCUCGAAACACGGGCCAAGGAGCAUAGCGUAAAGCCAAGUCCGACGGUUUCUCGAAACCUCGUGGCGAUAGUGAAAGCGAUCGUGCGGGUGUUUAUCACCCGUGAGAGUAAGAGCCUAGAGUUCCGGGCAACCGAGAUUCGAAGCUCUUGCCGCCUUCUAGUCAGGGCUGAUCCUCGAGUUCUUCACGGAACGAUGAGGCGCAAGCCCCGGGCCCGUUCGUAGUACGGCGUCUUGAUUUCGGUCUUGACGUUGUCAGAGCGGGCACCGAGUAGGCUUUACGCUAUGACCCGAAAGAUAGUGAACUAUGCUUGGCGAAGACGAAGCCCCAGGAAACUGUGGUGGAAGUCUGUAGCCGUUUUGACGUGCAAAUCAAUGGUGUCAGCUGAGCAUAGGGGCGAAAGACCAAUCGAACUAUCUAGUAGCUGGUUCCAUUCGAAGUUUCUCUCAGGAUAGCUUGCGUGCGUUCAGCGUUGAAGUCUGAGCUCUCGUAUACGAAAGCGUACGGGUGGUUCGUCCCUUUGCUGUGGUUGUUACUAGAGAGUUAGAGCGAGAAUUCCUCACUCGUAUCUCCCAUGCCGGGGUAGCCUAUCACUUUAACCGUGUGCAGUUACGUCCGGUAAAGAGAAUGAGUAGAGUUAGCUCGCUGCUCCUAGAGCUGCGGCAGCGGGGCGUUCUACGCCUCGCACUAUUAUCAAACUUUAAAUGGGCGAGGUGCUCGGCAUUGUCUUAAUUGAUUGAUGCUGGGACGAAAUACGUCUUGACCGUGUACGUCGAGUCGAAGGUGAAUGCGUGCGCGCAAAGUGGGUCCGUUCUGGUAAGCAGAACUGAUAAUGAGGGAUGAACCUAACGCACGUGCUAAGGGGCCAAAAUGACAGCUUUUUCUCGAAACCAUUGGAAAGGUGUUGCUUGCUGAAGACAGCAGGACGGUGGUCAUGGAAGUCGAUAUCCGCUAAGGAGUGUGUAACUACUCAUCCUGCCGAAGCGAGUAACCCUGAAAAUGGAUGGCUCUAUAGCUCUCUCCCGAUGCACGGCCGUCAGUGGCACUAAGAGGCACUUGUGUCUCUAAGCCCUGACGAGUAGAAUGGUGUGCUGCAUUGCUGCGACGACUUUCGCGUGAGCGUGGUCAGAGCGUGUAGCAGUACAGAUCUUGGUGGUAGUAGCAAGUACUCUGGUGAAUAACCUUGAGCUGUGAGGCUGAUAAGGGUUCCAUGUCAACAGCGUUUGUACAUGGGUAAGUCGCUCCUAAGGCCCCAUUAUCCGUAAUGGUGAUUGCGUAUGCUAAUGGGAGAGUCAAGGGUGUGUUUUGACUGAUGGGUUGUUGUUUCGGAUGCGGACGAUACGCGCAUAAAGGUGGUUGCAAACAAUAGACUAGCGAGAUGGAAGUGUUGUUGCGAUAACUGCACGAACAGCCGAAUGUACUGGUUCAAGCCUGCUAUGAGUCGAUGACUCGACGUCUUUGCUGUAGCGAGAAAGAAGCUCCUGUCGUUCCUCUUUGUGUUGUCGGAAUGGUGACGUGUCGGAAAGGUAGACGCUAAUGUUGCAAUAUACAAAGGCAUGCUAUCGAGUACGAAUGCACUAACCUGGGAAGACGAGGAUGACCGGGAGAAUGUCUUUGUCCGAUGCUUAGAUGGAGAGGAUUCGUCGAGUGGUGCGGAGUGGCGUGUGUUUUUGGUGUGUUGCGGUAAUUGCGUCCAUCGACCGAGUCUGCGUUUGCUGUGCCUUUAGUGUUGAUUGUCUGCGACCGAGCUGUCAGUCGGGCGCACGCUGAGCUUUUCUCUUGUGUCGCUUGCCGAAAGGGAACUGCGGACUCAGUUCGUAGACCACACCUGGUACCCUGAAACGGUCUACCGUAUUCACGGACCUAGCAAUAGUUGCCAGGCCAGUCGUUGUCAUAGGUAGCUCGGCGGGGAGAUUUCUUCUCUCUUUGAUAAGGCGUUAUUACCCUGAAAACACCUCGCGUGGCGGAAGGGUAAUGCCUUGUUUUAGCAGAAUACUCAUCUCCCUCGAGUAGUCCGACGCUAUCUGUGAUCCGUGAAAAGGUGGUCGAGGGGUAUUCCCAAGUGAUAAUGACUCAAGUCGUUGUGGUGGCUACCGGGAUGACAUCGCAUUGCGCGGUGUUGUUCGUUGUGGUGGUGGCUACUACUGUGCGACCGAAGGUUGAUGUCAUCUUGGACACUUUACACGAGUGUUAACCAGGGCGUGUGCGUACCCAUAUCCGCAUCCGUCUCAAA
RNAcentral lists this ribosomal RNA (3138 nucleotides) under Phronimella elongata. RNAcentral's name for it is "partial 28S ribosomal RNA". It matches the Rfam family "Eukaryotic large subunit ribosomal RNA", at positions 71 to 1870 of the family's 3401-position model. The record is from RNAcentral. Lineage: Eukaryota; Metazoa; Arthropoda; Malacostraca; Amphipoda; Phronimidae.